RNAcentral lists this ribosomal RNA (106 nucleotides) under Amycolatopsis sp. WAC 04182. Its description in RNAcentral is "partial 16S ribosomal RNA". It matches the Rfam family "Bacterial small subunit ribosomal RNA", at positions 1 to 109 of the family's 1533-position model. The record is from RNAcentral. Lineage: Bacteria; Bacillati; Actinomycetota; Actinomycetes; Pseudonocardiales; Pseudonocardiaceae.
UUGUUGGAGAGUUUGAUCCUGGCUCAGGACGAACGCUGGCGGCGUGCUUAACACAUGCAAGUCGAACGAUGAAGCCUUUCGGGGUGGAUUAGUGGCGAACGGGUGA